AACGCGAAGAACCUUACCCGGGCUUGAAAUGCGGCGGACCGGCAGAGAGAUCUGCCUUCCCUUCGGGGCCGCCGUGUAGGUGCUGCAUGGUUGUCGUCAGCUCGUGCCGUGAGGUGUCGGCUUAAGUGCCAUAACGAGCGCAACCCUCAUCAUUAGUUACUAACAGGUCAUGCUGAGGACUCUAGUGAGACUGCCAUCGUAAGAUGCGAGGAAGGUGGGGAUGACGUCAAGUCCUCAUGGCCUUUAUGUCCAGGGNCUACACACGUACUACAAUGGGCGGUACAAAGGGAAGCGAGCCCGCGAGGGGGAGCCAAUCCCAAAAAGCCGUUCACAGUUCGGAUUGGAGUCUGCAACUCGACUCCAUGAAGUUGGAAUCGCUAGUAAUCGCGGAUCAGCAUGCCGCGGUGAAUACGUUCCCGGGUCUUGUACACACCG
This 435-nucleotide ribosomal RNA is filed under the name uncultured bacterium. Its description in RNAcentral is "bacterial SSU rRNA". It matches the Rfam family "Bacterial small subunit ribosomal RNA", at positions 958 to 1392 of the family's 1533-position model. The record is from RNAcentral.